RNA transcript from Pantherophis guttatus, 2374 nucleotides. It is a transcript of the gene named small integral membrane protein 11, with no coding region annotated. The record is from RefSeq and is a predicted model, not a curated record. Lineage: Eukaryota; Metazoa; Chordata; Lepidosauria; Squamata; Colubridae.
UCUGGGAGUCGUAGGCUCUAGUAGUUUCCUGUGUUUAAUGGCUCCUCGCUAUUAAGCUGCUGAAUAGUCAUUUGCCCAUGAAUACGACCCCUGUCACCAACCAAGUCAAGUCUUGGCUGUUUGUACUGCAACUGGUCACUGAUCUUGUCACUCAGUGGAAACACAUUUCCCUUUCUUGAAUGUUUUGUAUCUGAGGAGAAGUGUGCUGGGAAUUCUUAUGUAUAGGAACAACAUCUUUGCCUGCCCCUGAAAUGAGAUCAACUCCAUCCUUUUGAAACUCCAUGAGCCCUCCAUCAAGACCUGAUUAUCUUAUCAGACCUGGAGUUCUGAAGGUGACUUUUCACAAAAAAGUAUUGCAUUCUUACAUAUUUGCCUUGUAACACCCUAAACUGAAGAUUACAGUAAAACAGAGUUAAGAUGGUGUUUUUGAAUUGGAAGGCACUGGAAACUUUUCCACUACUAAUGUACAUUUUAGCUGCUAAAACAUUAAUUCUUUGCUUAGCAUUUGCUGGGGUAAAAAUAUAUCAAAGGAAAAGACUUGAAGAGAAGAUGAAAAGAGAGCAAGUAGAAGAGCAGAAAAGAGAAAUGGAGAGAAAAGAAAACUGAAGAUCUAAAGAUUGUGAGGAGGUCUCCACAACAUAACACAGUUACAAGAACCAAAGUCUUCACAAAACACACAAUUAAGAAAAAGAAGGAAGAUGGCUUACUUAGUCCAUGAGUGUAAGUUCCCAGAGUCUAUGAUGUAAGAGGCGUCUAAAGUCUGAUAAACAAACCAACAAGUAAUAAAUGCUAUAAGAAAAGUGAAAAUGGAAAGAACAUUUAAAUAGGCAUUUAAGAAGAGCACAAAAAGCAAGCAGCAAGUGAUAGCUGGGGAAAAGGAGGAGUGCUGAUGUUCCAACUGCAGAGAGACUUGACCUGAGCUGCUGAGCUUCUUGGAGCACUGCUCUGGUACCAGAUUUGAUAGGAGGUCUCUUGUCUCAAUAAACUGGCUUAUUCAAAGCAGAGCAUGUUAUUUUCAAAAAAGCAUUUCAGUGCUCCAAUCAAGGAUCUUUAUUUUCAAGAUUUUUUUCCAAAUGUUAUUUGAAUAUUAUUUCAAAUACUUAACAGUACUCUGUUAAGAAACCAAACAGACAUUUACAGCCAAGGCAAUGCCAGCCUGAUACUAGGAAAUUAGCCACCCUCUGUGUUGGGAAGUAUUGAACAGUCAACCAAGGAAAAAUAGAGGGCAACUAGCACUGAUAAUUUUACAGUUACAUUAAAGCUGAGCGGACAUCUAGAUGUGAUGUGCCCAAAGGCAUUAGGACAGUUUGAUGUUUCAAAAGCAAAUAUAUCAUUGGUAAGUAGAAUGCCAGAAUAUCAAUCAAGGAAAACUUGAUGUAGUCCAGGCAGAAAUGCCAAGGCCGCAUAUCAACAUUCUAGGAACUAAGGAACUGAAAUAUAUUGGAAUUCCCAUCAAAGGAACCCUCUGCAGAUCCCAUCAGAUCCUCUACUGCAGACUUCAAAAUCAUAGAAAAAAACCCAACUGGUUCUUAUUACUAAAAAAGUAUGCAAAUGUUUCUUUCUUCUUUUUUUUUGUGAAAUUUGAAUGAUUUUUUUAAAAAUGUCUGAUAGCCAUCCAGAGUUUCCUGGAUAGAUGUUUGGUUAUAUAAAUGUGUAAAUAUAUAAAUAAAUAUGUACAAAUGCUUGGAUACAGUUCCCAAAAGAUAGAUGAUCUCAAUUCAAGUUGAAGGCUAGCUAAUCACUGUUACAGUGAUCUAUGUAUAUGCUCUAACCACAGAUACAAAGGAAGUGGAAGCUGAACAAUUCCAUUAUAACUCGCAACAUCUUAUUGACACAACUCCAGAAAAGAUGCCAUAAUAAAUACAGGACACUGGAAUGCUAAAGUUGGAAGUAAAAUAGCUACUGGAGUAAUGGGAACAUUUGGCCUUGGUAUAUGAAAGGAAACAAGAGAAAAAUACAGUUCUGGCAAAAAAAGAUGCAAUAUUUUUAGCAAAUAUUUUCCUCUAUCAACCUAAAAAAUUACACAAGAUCUCCACUAGACAGACAAACCCAAAAUCAAAUUAUCUACUUAUAUUACAAGCAAAAAUGGAAGCUCUAGUCUAGUCAGUCAGCAAAAGAAGACCACAAUGUAGAUUACAAACACCUGAAAUAACAACAGAAUAGAAAAAACAAAAUAGUCAGAUAUGAUCAGAGCAAUAUUCAUUAUGAUUAUAUGUUGAAUAGAUGAAGUGAAUUAGAGUGAUAAACAUGUCUAGAGAAACUGGAAAUAAAAUUUGUUGCAUCAUUUAAAAUGAUACAAAGACAAAUACACUGAAAUGUAAAAGAAUUAAAUGGUUGUCUGUUGAAAUAGAAUAAAAUAAAACCAAUGUCUAUA